UACAAAAACACUAGAAUUUUGCGAUCAAAUCGAUCUGGAGAUUGAGGCGUUGAAUUUAUUGGGGAAUUUUUCACUUAAUGUUUCCAUUUAGCUCUUUCUCUGUAAAAGACUGUUCGUUCAACAUCCACAACUGGUUGAACAGAUGAAGAAUUUUGGAGGCCAAGGAAGGCAAUGGCAGCAAACAUAGAACCCAACGCAUUAAAAAGAUCUUGUUCCGUUCCACUGCAAUUUGAAGUUGCAAGAUAAAUUAUAAUGCAGCAAUCAACCACAGGAGUUCAAAUUUUCCCUCAGUAGACAUUAACUUACGUUUUAGAGCCGAUGUCCCAGCACAUUGUCCCAAAGGUCAAGGCUAUGGCAACUGUAAAGAGCAUUCUUGCAGCAGUGUAUGGUGGGUUCCGCCAGUAGGACCAGUGUUGUUUCCAUAAGCAUGCCUUGCUUUGUGUGAAAAAUGAUUGAGAGUAUUGGCUUGGGAAAUAGAGGUCCUUGGAACCAGGAGCUGGCUUGCUCAAUUGUUCAAUAAGUGCCUUGUUUCUCCUAAUGCAUUUGCAAUAAAAUAGCACAAGUGACAAAUAUCUUAUACACAUGGUCAA
This is a long non-coding RNA of Carya illinoinensis, 590 nucleotides long. RefSeq lists it as uncharacterized. The record is from RefSeq and is a predicted model, not a curated record. NCBI's taxonomy places the organism in Eukaryota, Viridiplantae, Streptophyta, Magnoliopsida, Fagales, Juglandaceae. The transcript is spliced from 2 exons.